Long non-coding RNA from Panicum virgatum (switchgrass), 1732 nucleotides. RefSeq lists it as uncharacterized. The record is from RefSeq and is a predicted model, not a curated record. Lineage: Eukaryota; Viridiplantae; Streptophyta; Magnoliopsida; Poales; Poaceae. The transcript is spliced from 3 exons.
CCUGUUUAAUUCCUCUUGAUUAGCCUUUUAAUUACCUGGGCUGUCACAGUCCUCGCCGCGCCGCCACUUCGUCCCCGGCGAAUCCGUGCGCGAGCUCGGCUGCCGACCGAUCCGCGUCCCCGGCUCCGCGCCGUCCCAGCAGAUCCGCGCCACCCGGCCGCCGAUCCACGCCCAGCCGCCGCCCUCCCGUCGCAUACAACAAAACUUCCGUUGCCGAUGAGUACACAAAGGGGAAGGGUCAGGCAAUGGAGGCAGGGCCAGUCGCUGCAGCAUGCGGAGGCCCUAAUAUUCAAUCUCAUUGAAGACACCUGCAGGCCGAGGCAAGGUGGUUGCCCCCAAUGGCUGUGCCAUGGCUGCUGGGAGUGAUGAUCUGCACCAGUGCCCCCCAACCAUACCCGAUUCUCGGGGUGUCGUUCGUCCUCUAAUCUGAGACCGAAGAGUAUAAUGUAGACGAUGGGGUGGGGCAUAGCUGGCGGCCACAGCAAUUGCAGCAGGCACCAGAAUACAGGAGGCAGCAACAGGUUUGAUUUUACAUAGCUGGGAUUUGGGAAUAUGUUUAAGCUCUUACUUAGGUCCUUUAAUCUCUAUAUAAGUGUCAACCAACAUUUACACAUACUAUUGCUUUCUCGAGUUAUUUUUUACAAUGAAAAAUAUCAAACAACUAUUAUAGAAUGUGGUGUGUUAAAAAUGCCAUCAGCGGAGUUUUCCCUCUUUGGUCAUCUUUGACUGAUCAUUAUGCCAGUGUAGAAAACUGUUAUGAAGUUUUCUCUAAGUGGAUCAUUUCUCUAAAGUUCCAUCAAUCUAUUAGAGCGUAACAGUUUGAUUUUUGUUGUUAGUGGAAGAUCUGUGCAAACCAGGUGUAACUACAAGGCUACACUCUAUUUGUUUCUUCUAAGAUUGCCUGCAUAAAUGAAUUGACACUCAAGUUGCAUUGCGAACAUCUACCGGUGAUAAUUUUUAUUCAAAGCUUGUUUGUUCUGUUUGAACUCUGAAUUCUCGUCAUUGCAUAAUGCAAUUCUAGUAUAGAAGUAACUAUUGACAAUUCUUUGUACUAUUUUCAGGUUCAAUUUGGUAACACAUUGUUCUCUGGGAUCUCCGCCCUCAUUGCCAUGUCCUGGCUUUCACUUAGCAUACCAUUCAUUGUUAUUGACUUAUUGUGUUUUCUGAUGCUGAGUUAAAUUAAACACUUCAAUCUUGAGUUCUAUUAAAUGAGCCCUACCUAUUUUUUUUACAUGUUGAUUGUUGAAUAAGAUAAGUACUAUGUAAAACUGAUUUCUUCCAUUGGGGACUUCCAAAACAAAAUCAAGUACUAUAUAAAGCAGUGCUCUUUCUUUUGGCUAUUCCCAGGCCUGAAAAAUAACAAACUUACUUUUAGAAAACUAAUCAAUGGACAAAUUGAUUUGUGAUGUCUUUCAGAUAUUGUUUACUGUUUUAUGGCAACUAAACACUUGAAUGGGAAGUAAUAAAUCAAGUCGUCUCCUGAACUACCAUAUGUUCACGUGCCAUGAAGAAGAGCUACACGCAUUUAGGUGCCCCCAAGGGUUGGUGCACAAGAUUGAAGCUACAAGCAUGCUAGCUAUUGCUGAGGAUCAUGCCUCAGGUGUCACAAAAUCUUGUCUGUCACUUGAAUUCAUUGGUUGAAAAAUCGGAUGCUAAGCAACCGAAUUGCCCAAUAGACAUUUUUUAUUGACGAUAAUUUGUACUUCUGUUUAAUGUAUAGUGCAUUCCUCCA